RNAcentral lists this ribosomal RNA (406 nucleotides) under uncultured bacterium. RNAcentral's name for it is "partial 16S ribosomal RNA". It matches the Rfam family "Bacterial small subunit ribosomal RNA", at positions 30 to 526 of the family's 1533-position model. The record is from RNAcentral.
AUUGAACGCUGGCGGCAGGCCUAACACAUGCAAGUCGAACGAGUGGCGGACGGGUGAGUAAUGUCUGGGAAACUGCCCGAUGGAGGGGGAUAACUACCGGAAACGGUAGCUAAUACCGCAUAACAUAGGAUGUGCCCAGAUGGGAUUAGCUAGUAGGUGGGGUAACGGCUCACCUAGGCGACGAGCCAUAGCUGGUCUGAGAGGAUGACCAGCCACACUGGAACUGAGACACGGUCCAGACUCCUACGCGAGGCAGCAGUGUGGAAUAUUGCACAAUGGGCGCAAGCCUGAUGCAGCCAUGCCGCGUGUAUGAAGAAGGCCUUCGGGUUGUAAAGUACUUUCAGCGGGGAGGCGUUACUCGCAGAAGAAGCACCGGCUAACUCCGUGCCAGCAGCCGCGGUAAUUC